This is a long non-coding RNA of Ceratina calcarata, 1443 nucleotides long. RefSeq lists it as uncharacterized. The transcript is spliced from 2 exons. NCBI's taxonomy places the organism in Eukaryota, Metazoa, Arthropoda, Insecta, Hymenoptera, Apidae. The record is from RefSeq and is a predicted model, not a curated record.
AGUACUUAUAUCUUAAUAGAAUUUUCAGGAGUAGAUUUCUGUAUCUGAUUGCAAGCAGUUUAAUUUUAGACGGGCUCGGUUAUUAAGGAUUACUUUAUCCUAUUUACCGAAUUUAAUCAUUUUCUUCAAUAACUAUCUGAGUAUUUCUGAACGGCGAUGUAUUAUAUGAGUGCAGUUGUGGUAAUCGGAACCGAUGACGUAUAAUUGAUUUCGUUACUCUCCUUUCCAAUGCUGUAUUUGUGUCACCACAAUUCAUGGAGAAAUGGAAAAUGUUAUCGAUCAUCCAGCACGAUAAGGUAGGAAAAGGAAAAUAGCUGAAUGUACCUUACUCACAUACACAACAUACGAGAUACGAAAAUCUUAAUGUCAAGGAUAAUGCUGUAGAGCGGCAAAGAAAUAUAUGCAUGUUAUUCAGUAGUUUCGCACAAGGGAUAACAAAUGCUUGUUUUUCUUAGAAAUCAGAGUAAACUAGUGAAAACAUAUGAUCUACAACAGUAGAGAUGGACAAAGUAUAAGAAAUUGAUUAAAAAAACAUAAUAGAAUUAAGAUUUUGUACAACUAGUGAUAUUGAGCGCUAUCCUCUUUUCUCCCUCUCUUCGUCAUUGACCAGCAUCUCCCACUCUCAUCCGAAGAAACUCGCAAAAUGAGUACAUAUAUAUUACGUAUUCGAAUAAACAUAUUUGGCGCCAAAUACUUAAGUGUUAAGCAGUAAGCAUUUAAACGAAAUAUAUUCACAAUGGAAAACUUCCGAAUCGCUGCUUGUAGGAUUAAAAAUACUUCGCAGCCUCAGUAUUUGUUACAAUAGAUAUUAAAAUUCGGCGUACUUGGUAUCGAUGGAACGAUGGAAGAAAAUGUGAAAUGCAGUUCAAGGAAUAUGCAAAAAUAAUUACGGACAUGCAACUAAAUAAGAUAUAAUUAUUUAUACACUUACAAUAUAUUAUGGAGCAUAGAUCUUUACCGAUAUUUUAAAGUUACUUGUGGUAGUUAUUAUGUACAUAUAAAUUAUAAUUCAUUUUCUAACGAUUAAUUUCAUGUAAGAAAAUAUUAUCCCGUUAAUGUUAGUGAAAGCAGAAUACGAAAUUCUUUUAAUAUGUUAAUACAUCUACGAGAUUACAUCUAUUAACAAUCAACGCCUGGAUAUGGAUAUAAUAAUGUAACAUAAGUUCACAGUAUCAUCUUUUAUGCAUUGCAAGCUAACGUACUUCGACUUAUUGAGUGCACUCAUUAACAUUAACAAGUAAACAUAUAAUUAAGCCUGUGAACAUUAAUAUGUGCAUAUAUGUAACUUAACUGAUAAUUCCAGUGGUACACUUUCUCGCGCUUAUCGUCCAAAUACGGACAUUCAUCUUUACUUUACACACAUAAAAGAAAAUGUAUGAUAACGAGCGUAAACUAGCCGCGCCGUUUACGAAUAAACGUCAAAUGAGCAGGGAACAACGAAAA